RNAcentral lists this ribosomal RNA (497 nucleotides) under uncultured bacterium. Its description in RNAcentral is "partial 16S ribosomal RNA". It matches the Rfam family "Bacterial small subunit ribosomal RNA", at positions 28 to 507 of the family's 1533-position model. The record is from RNAcentral.
GACGAACGCUGGCGGCGUGCCUAAUACAUGCAAGUUGAGCGAUGAAGAUUGGUGCUUGCACCAAUUUGAAGAGCAGCGAACGGGUGAGUAACGCGUGGGGAAUCUGCCUUUGAGCGGGGGACAACAUUUGGAAACGAAUGCUAAUACCGCAUAAUAACUUUAAACAUAAGUUUUAAGUUUGAAAGAUGCAAUUGCAUCACUCAAAGAUGAUCCCGCGUUGUAUUAGCUAGUUGGUGAGGUAAAGGCUCACCAAGGCGAUGAUACAUAGCCGACCUGAGAGGGUGAUCGGCCACAUUGGGACUGAGACACGGCCAAAACGCCUACGGGAGGCAGCAGUAGGGAAUCUUCGGCAAUGGACGAAAGUCUGACCGAGCAACGCCGCGUGAGUGAAGAAGGGUUUCGGAUCGUAAAACUCUGUUGGUAGAGAAGAACGUUGGUGAGAGUGGAAAGCUCAUCAAGUGACGGUAACUACCCAGAAAGGGACGGCUAACUACGUG